GGUAGCUAUAAUUUAAUGGUAGAAUAUUUGCUUGUGGUGCAUUGUAUUUGAGUUCAAAUCUCAAUAGUUAUC
RNAcentral lists this transfer RNA (72 nucleotides) under Intestinozyma alai. RNAcentral describes it as "Candida alai tRNA-His". It matches the Rfam family "tRNA". Rfam says of the family: Transfer RNA (tRNA) molecules are approximately 80 nucleotides in length. Lineage: Eukaryota; Fungi; Ascomycota; Pichiomycetes; Serinales; Debaryomycetaceae. The record is from RNAcentral.